UGGCGGACGGGUGAGUAAUGUCUGGGAAACUGCCUGAUGGAGGGGGGAUAACUACUGGAAACGGUAGCUAAUACCGCAUAACGUCGAAAGACCAAAGAGGGGGACCUUCGGGCCUCUUGCCAUCGGAUGUGCCCAGAUGGGAUUAGCUUGUUGGUGGGGUAAUGGCUCACCAAGGCGACGAUCCCUAGCUGGUCUGAGAGGAUGACCAGCCACACUGGAACUGAGACACGGUCCAGACUCCUACGGGAGGCAGCAUG
RNAcentral lists this ribosomal RNA (257 nucleotides) under uncultured bacterium. RNAcentral's name for it is "partial 16S ribosomal RNA". It matches the Rfam family "Bacterial small subunit ribosomal RNA", at positions 96 to 353 of the family's 1533-position model. The record is from RNAcentral.